UUUAUCUCUUUAGGAUAAGAACCACCAGAGGGAAGAAGCCUUCCUUUGUUGACGAGUUGUGGGCACCAUAAUGCUCACACUCCCCCUGCUGCGUUCACAGCACCUACAACCCCUCAGGAGGAGAAUCACACUGAUGUUCUUCGGGAGUUCCUUUCAGGCUUCCAACACAGACUGCAGUGAGUUCCAGGUCCUCCACCUUGGACUAGACCCUCAGACUCCAGCACACAGAUGCCAUUGUGCAUUCAUCCUCCCUUAUUACACAGGCAGCCUAUCUAAUAAAUCCUUUAUAUAACCA
Molecule: long non-coding RNA, 295 nt
Filed under: Chinchilla lanigera (long-tailed chinchilla)
Lineage: Eukaryota; Metazoa; Chordata; Mammalia; Rodentia; Chinchillidae
Description: lncRNA (ENSCLAG00000025799.1)
Source: RNAcentral